RNAcentral lists this ribosomal RNA (119 nucleotides) under Aegilops tauschii subsp. strangulata. Lineage: Eukaryota; Viridiplantae; Streptophyta; Magnoliopsida; Poales; Poaceae. The record is from RNAcentral.
GGAUGUGAUCAUACCAGCACUAAAGCACCGGAUCCCAUCAGAACUCCGAAGUUAAGCGUGCUUGGGCGAGAGUAGUACUAGGAUGGGUGACCUCCUGGGAAGUCCUCGUGUUGCAUUCU